UUUAGUGUUUGUUUCCUGAUUCUGUUCCUGGUAGCAGUCUCUCUGGCCAUGAACAAUUAACUGAAGAUUCUCUCACUCGUGAAUUAAAGUCAGCUCCUCCUAAUAGUCUCACAAUGCGUCUAGCCAAAGCUUUCUGUAACAUUCAUAAUGAUUAUGGUCUUAAAGCAAUGGCUCAUAUUUGGUAUGAAGUGAUACAGGAACUGCGCUACAGGUGGGAGAAUGGUAUAACGUUACCAAGAUGUUAAACAACUGUAUACUACACAAGAUAUCACAUGC
This is a long non-coding RNA of Amphimedon queenslandica, 276 nucleotides long. RefSeq lists it as uncharacterized. The record is from RefSeq and is a predicted model, not a curated record. Lineage: Eukaryota; Metazoa; Porifera; Demospongiae; Haplosclerida; Niphatidae. The transcript has 4 exons.